Molecule: long non-coding RNA, 262 nt
Filed under: Elaeis guineensis (African oil palm)
Lineage: Eukaryota; Viridiplantae; Streptophyta; Magnoliopsida; Arecales; Arecaceae
Description: long non-coding RNA (EGUI_LNC015756)
Source: RNAcentral
UGUUGUAACUAUCUGGAUGAGUGGGUGCUGAGCUGGAAUUUCAAGAGUAAUGAGAAAACCACAUUUCUAGCCAUUGUUCGAGAUAAGGGGGCUUUGCUUGGCUUGAGCCGAGUAUCGAGUUAAGCGGUUGUCUGGUCGAGCUUGAGGACUAUGUUAAAUAGGUUGGGUGUCAUUUAAUCGAUCUCAGAGAUUAGUUGCUUCAUUCUAUUUGGCUUGGCCGUCUAAUUAGCAAAAAUUAGCUUGAUUUGAUCAUGUUGAGGGG